UUUUUUUUUGUUAUUUGAUUUGAACAUUUUUUUGAGGUUUAUCUAUUGUGACAUGUUAAUACAUGGUUGAAAAAUUGUGGGGGCUAUGAUGCUUUACGGUUCAUAGAUGAAAUUACCCAGUGUUUAUUAACCCGGCCUGGCUUUGACUAUAAGUCGCCAAUGUAAGAUGAUCUUAUAUACUUGGAAGCACUGUGCUCUAAGUUUUGGGAUAUUACCCCUUGCUGCAUACGGCGUUGUAAGCCGGCGAUAUAUGUCCAAGGCAUUGGGCGCUCAAUAUUUUGGGUUGUAACCCUCACUGAACAGGUAUGAUAAGCCGGCAAUAUGAGCAAAUAUCACAGGUAUGAUAUUUUGUUAUAAUUAUAUAAGGGUAUGAUUAAACUGGCCCUGGUUAUGGACUAUCUUAGUCACUAGUGGUUUUUAUGGGGUAUUGUGACCCGCCCUGCGGUAAACCGCCAGGGUACUUGUGAUCUGCUUGUGUGCAGGUCAAAUACUAAAUCUAGCAUACAGAGUUGAUGAAAUCAUGAGCAUAAGUGGCCAAACUUCAAUUGGUAAAACAGCAGUGUCAUGCAAAGCAAAACAUGCACGAUGGCAUGGAAGAUCAAGAGUUUAACUAGCCUAUUACAAGGCAUCUGAUGGCCAAUGAGAAUAAGUGUUUUGAAGCUGUCAACUUGGCAAAGUAAUUUCCUUAAUAAACCGGCUUAUGACUGAUGACGGGUUGAAGCCUCCGAGUCUUCCUGCACCUCUUCUUCAUCUUCAGCUCCUUGCUUAUCCAUCAGCUGGAAGUCAGGCGCAGCCCAGUUGAUACCAGUCAACGCUCUAAACACAGCUUCAUCAUCAAUAAGGUUUGAUGGAUCAAUGUCAAGAGCGAAGGUAUGCUUACGAAUAGGCAGGAUAAGAUCUGUUGGCUCAUGAACCAGCGCGCUAACUCUCUUGUUGUCAGCAUCAUAAGAUGCCUGGUAUGCGGAUAGACUGGUUUCGUCAGCUAGCUUGCUUGCUAAGGGGCGCAUGGCUCUUGCUAUCUCUGCAAAAUCGUCAGCACUGAAGGCAGAUUCGUCUUCUUUGACACUGGGACAGCCGUUGGCCAAAUCCUUCGGGUUAAGAUCAGCCUGCCAUGCCUUUGCCCAGCUUAAAGUAGUCAAGGCGCCGGCUCUGGCAGCUCCCCGUUUUAAGUCAUCAAUUCUUUUUGGCAGCACGGAUAACUGCUUCAGUGUAUCCUUGAUAAGUGUGGAGGGAGUUUUCUUGUGCAGCGUACAGGCAAUGGUUUGUUGGGCACCAGUAUAUAACUGUUCUACAAGAGUGUAGACAGUCUUAAGCCGGACGCGCAUGUCUGAGCCCAACUCCGUGCUCCGCGAACCUGUAUCAUUAAAAGUUAUGGGUAAGCCGGCAGCCGUUUGAAAAUAUGAUUAUUAAGAUGCAAGGGAGACAUGUUCUUACCGAAGAUGGCUGAUGGCAUAAUAUUAAUCUGUUGCUUUAAGUCGGAUAACUCCUCAGUCACCGGUUUAAGCGUGGCUUCAGCUUCUUCUGCUCUCUUCGAAAGAGAUGCUUUUUCAGUUUCCCAGCCCUCUUUGUCAGACUUCCAGUUCAGUUUUAGCUGCUCAAUAUUUUCCAAAGCAGAUUUCAGUUCUGACUUGGCUUUGGAUGUCUCUGACUGCUGAGUUUUGAUAUUGGCUUUAAGAUCAUUAAGCUGUGAGUCUUUUUUAGUCAAUUCAACCUAUGACAUAAGCACACGCAGAUAAGAUUGCAAUCAUGAUAAACUCUUUGAAGUCCCAAGCACAAUACAAGUGUUACUCUUGGCACUUGGGGGCUAAUGCGUAUUGCUCUUUUUUAACACAAAUUUUUGGAAGUCCCAAGCACAAUACAAGUAUUACUCUUGGCACUUGGGGGCUAAUGCCUAUUGCUUUGUUUCAAGACAUAUUUAUGACCCGGACAAAUGAUAUCAUCCGGUUUAUAAAAGACUACAGAUUGGGUUGAUUGAUUUUAAGCAAGAUGAUUAGUCACGUCUUAUUCAUCACUGAUUAAGCCGGCCCUUGGGGGCUACGGAGGCAAAGUUGAUUUUUGCUAUUUAAAGUCCCGGCUUAACAUGCUAGUUAAGCCGACCCUUGGGGGCUACGGAUGCAUUAUUGAUUCUUGCUACUUAAAGACCCAGAUUAACAUAUUAAGCCGGCCCUUGGGGGCUACACAUACAAAGUUGAAGUGCUGGUAUUCUAUGUCCCGGUUCAUGUUGAAAGCAUAAACCGGCCCUUUGGGGCUAUUGGAUUUGAUCUAUGCAACUAUUGAAGUUUACAACACAUUCUAUUCUAUCAUAUCCAAUAAACUUGGCGACUAAGGGAAGCAUAUUCAUAUACAAAGGAGUUGCAGCAUUUACCUCAUAGCGCUCCUUCAUCAGGUUAACUAAGCCGGCUUCAAAGUCACGACUGGUGUAUAGACGGUUCAAGUAACCAGAGUGGAUGUCUUGGGCACUGAAAUGGGUGUAGCUCUCCAAGUCUACCUUCCAUUUGCCUUUAUCUUCAGCAGAGAUUUCUUCCUUAGCGCUAUGCUUGGAUAAGACAGUAGGUUGACCCGGGGCUGAGAAUCCAAAUCCGGUGACGACUACAUCAUCAGUUUUUCCUCAAGAGGCUUAACUGGACUUGGCGGCUUAGAGAUGGCCGGCUUAGCAUCCAUACAGUCUGUGGAGACUUCAUGGUCUUGAGGCGGCGGAUCAUCAAUAAUAUCUUCAGGAAUUGGGUGAGAGAGUUCCAGUUGUUAUUGCUCCGGCUCAGAUGGGUUGGCAUCUUUGACCGGCUUGCUCAGCUUCGCCUUCUUGCUGGGUUUGGCUUGGCCUCUGAAAAUAAGAAGUGUAAAGAGAUCAGUAUAAUGAUCAAGCAUAAGGUGUGAAUGAUUAAAAUAUAUCCUUACCCAGGUACAGUUUUGAAAGCUGAGAUUUGCGUUCCUGUUGACUCGCCAGAAGAGGAAUGAGAAGUCCUCUGAUAGUUUGAAUUGGACGGGUUAAGAGGUUGUCGGAAAUGACCCGCCUUGGGAUAAAGUAUGUCAGAAAUAUGUAAGACCUCUGGGCGGCGUUUGUGAACUGGUGUUUGGUAAGCCGGAGGAAGUAAUCACGCCGCCACUAUGCCGAGUGGUGCGGCGAGCUUCGUGUUGCUGUUUCUUCAAAAGAAAGUUGGGAUCCAAGUGAGCUAGAGGGUGAGAAAAUCUUACUUUCCGGCUUGCUUGUCAGGUUUUCUGUGUUGGCAGAGGUUCUGAGCCAGAAGAAAGAAUAUUUACCUCUGCGUCACCUGCACAGCUGGCUUCUGCGUCGUCCUGAUAACAAUCAUUGUCAAUGAGAUGUAUAAAAAUGAGCCAAGAGAAUCAAGUUCUACCUCUGACUCAUCAUCAUCAUUGUCAUCAUCAAUGUUUGAACCGACGGGGUCGGUGGUCUUCUUUUUAGCAGGCUUUUUGGUGGCUUUGGUUUUGGUAAGAGCCGGUUUGGCCGGCUUAUCUUGCGGUUUCUUUUUCCAAAAUAGAGAAUCAGCCUGUGGUAUAAUUAUUGAAAAUAUUGAUUGAGAAGAAGGUGUGCAACACUUACGGCUGGCGUCUUGUUGAAGCUACUGAAAGGACUAAGUCAUGUUUUACUGCAUUCCCUUAAAGGUUCAUUCAGCAAUUUCUUGGUGGCUUAGUAAUUUCCGCAUCAGACAGUUGAAUGUCACAGUGGCGCUGGGGAUCUUUUACAUUGCCAGUAUAUUCGCACAUUAAGCCGGGGCGACGGCUUAAUGGCAAGAUACUCCAGGACACCCAGCACCGGACAAAGUCGACGCCGGUUAAGCCGUUGGCCAUUAAGGCUCUGAGUUUUGAAAAUGCUCGUGGAUAUUUGGCCCGUUCCUUCGCACUGAGCCGUGAGGGGAGUGGAUGUGUGCCGCUAAGUCCGCGAUCACGGUAACCCGACAGAGGAUUCUCAUCAGCUGGAGAUGUAUCUUGACAAUAGAACCAAGUUUGGUUCCAAUCUUUGGGAUGACUAUGCGGCUUAGCAUGGGGAAAGCUGACUUCUUUCCUCUUUUGAAUGGAAACCCCACCGAGUUUGGUGUUGGGCCCGUCAACAAACUCUGUCUGGCGGUUUAAGUAGUAGAAUUCUCUGAAUAAAUCAACUGUGGCCUCCUCUUGAAGGUAAGCUUCACAUAAUACUUGGAAAUUGCAAAUGUUGGACAUGGAGUUGGGUCCAAUAUCUUGAGGGUGAAGUUGAAAAAAAUGAAGUACAUCACGGAAAAACUUUGAGCCGGGUGGGCUAAACCCCCGACUCAGAUGGUCAGCAAAAACAAUCACUUCUCCAUCAUUGGGUUGAGGAGGAUUUUCUUCACCAGGGGCCCUCAAGUGGAUGUCCUCUUUCUUGGCUAAGGCGCCAGUGGCAACAAAGUUGUUCAGUUCUUCUUCAGUAACCCAGGAUUGGACCCAGUUGCAAGAAGUGUAUGUCUUAGCCAUUUUCUCAAUGAUCUGAAAGAAAGAUUAUGCCGGUUCAAGAUUAUAUGGUUAAGCUGGAGAUUGGCAUUGAAGUUAUAAAGACGAGCUAUUGGCGGAUUAAGAGGGGACUAAUGGUACCUGGCGGGUUACUAUUUCUAAGUUAAGCCGCCCACACAACUAUUGAAGUACAGAUCUGAGAAAAGAAAAAUUGCUAAGUGUUGGGAAAACAGGUUUCACAGAUUGAUGCUAUGAUUUCGGAUCAGCAGUACUUCAGAUAACGGAAAAAUAUUUAGGCCUAAAUUACGGUGCUUGAGCAGUUCAUAAGGUCCAGAUCAGGUUUUUUAUGCAAAAGGAGAUGCCCUAAUAGUGAAAAUAAGUGCUACGACUACCACCGCGCAGGAGAGGUACCAAGUUCGAAUCAAAAGCACAAGUAACAGCAUAGAACGAAGAUGAACUCCGACGAACUCGUAGGAAACCCUAAUGGGAUCUAUGGGAAAGGAAGGAGGAGAACUCACCAGAGCUGUUGAACAGCGGAGGCGCGCGGACGAAUUCUGGUCAAAUCAGGUUGAUGCAGCGGCCGUCAUUGAGGCAGUGGCGAAGGUCGACGGUGGCGGCGGAGCUCGAGUGCUGAGGCGACGCGAGGUGGAAGACAGAGAUGAAGAGGCAAGGGGGAAAGUGAAAGGGACCCCUGACCCUAUUUAUAACGUCGAAAGGAUAACUGGCAUGCGCGAGAAUCGAGGAGGCCAAAAAAUGGAUAUGCGACAGCACAGACGCUUCAAUUUUCGAAAGUUCAUUAAAAGAGAGGAUAUAUUAAGAUUUGGUCUUUGAGUAACAUUAAUGGCAGGUGACGUCAUGGCGGGUUACCACAAUCCUAGGUGAUGACGUCAUGGCGGGUUACAGGGCCUCGCAAGAAUAAGUGAAGAAGGAUUUUUUCUAAGUGUUGAAGAUUGAUAUGAACAAGUUCAAAUCAACCUGGGGCCUAAUGUUGGGGAUAUGACUAUUGGAUAUGACCCGCCCAGGAGAGGCCGGGUUAUACCAAUGGCGGUUUAUCAAGAUGAAGCCCAUGAAGAUGUUGAAGAUGGCGGUUCACGAAGCAGACUUGUUAAGGGCCCGAAGCCCAAAGGCGACUUAAGGCCCAUAGGUAUAAACCGCUAUGUAUGUAUGACUUGUAUUGUAAGGCAAGUGUAAUUAGUCACCGAGCCGGACACGUUGUUUAUGAGCCGGCCUGGACUCCGUGAGCCGCUGGGCGUCAACCUGUGUAUAUAAAGGGACGACCCGGCGGCGGUUUAGGACAAGAAACAAUAGAUCAAAAGCUAGGUCAAGCAUAUUCGCUCCCUGGUAAUCGAAACAUAAGCAAUACCACCUCAAACUGGAUUAGGCCUUUACCUUCACCGCAAGGGGCCGAACCAGUAUAAACUCCCCAUGUCCUUUGUCCCAUUUUAACCCCUUUAAGCUAACCUCGACGCGAUGGCUCCACGACUAAGUCCCCACACUAGGACAUCUGCCGUGACAAUUCCACGACACUGAGGACAUGGGAGAAGUCUUGUUAUAAGUAAUCAUGUGAAUAUGGUAUUCGUUCGAUAUUUUGAUGAGAUGUAUGUUGUCUUUCCUCUAGUGGUGUUUUGUGAACGUCGACUACAUGACACUUCACCAUUAUUUGGGCCUAGGGGAAGGCAUUGGGAAGUAAUAAGUAGAUGAUGGGUUGCUAGAGUGACAGAAGCUUAAACCCUAGUUUAUGUGUUGCUUCGUAAGGGGCUGAUUUGGAUCCAUAUGUUUCAUGCUAUGGUUAGGUUUACCUUAAUUCUUCUUUUGUAGUUGCGGAUACUUGCGAGAGGGGUUAAUCAUAAGUGGGAGGCUUGUCCAAGAAAGGGCAGCACCCAAGCACCGGUCCACCCACAUAUCAAAUUAUCAAAGUAACGAACACGAAUCAUAUGAGCAUGAUGAAAACUAACUUGACAACAAUUCCCAUGUGUCCUCAGGAGCGUUUUGCAUUAUAUAAGAGUUCGUCCAGGCUUGUCCUUUGCUACAAAAAGGAUUGGGCCACCUUGCUGCACCUUGUUUACUUUUAUUACUUGUUACUCAUCACGAUUUGUCUUAUCACAAAAUUACCUGUUACCGGUAAUUUCAGUGCUUGCAGAGAAUACCUUGCUGAAAACCACUUGUCAUUUCCUUCUGCUCCUCGUUGGGUUCGACACUCUUACAUAUCGAAAGGACUACGAUAGAUCCCCUAUACCUGUGAGUCAUCACCGAGCACUACGAAAAUAUGACCGGGGACGAACUAGAGGGAGAGGGGCGCCGCACAUGACUUGGGGAUCGUGGUGUGUGUUGCCCCUCUCCCUCCACACACAUAUAUAGGUGGGGUGAGGAGGGGAGGCAGCCUAGGGCAACCCCAAGGGGACCGGCGGCCACCCUUAUCCCCUGCCCUGGUCGCGCCCCCCUUCCUUCUUGGGCGCGCGGGGGGAAGGCGGGAGGGUUGGCGCCCCCCCCCCCCCCCCUUCCUCUUAGGUGGGGGGAAGGCAGGAGGGGCUGGCCCUCCCCCUUACCAUCCAUAGGGUCGGCAGCCUAGAGGUGGGGCAUGCCAGCCCCUUGUGGGCUGAUGUGCUUCCCUCUCUUGGCCCAUAUGGCCCAUUAACCUCCCGGGCCCUCCCGGAACCCCUUCCGAUGAACCGAUGACUACCUGAUACAUUCCGAAAUAGCAUCGUCCUAUAUAUCAAUCUUUACCUACGGACCAUUCCGGAGCUCCUCUUCAUGUUUGUGAUCUCAUCUGGGACUCCGAACAACAUUCGGUAAUCAACUCACAUAACUCAUAUAAUACUAUAACGUCAAUGAACGUUAAGCGUGCGGAGCCUACCGGUUCGAGAAUGAUGUAGACAUGACCGAGACACCUCUCCGGUCAAUAACCAAUAGCGGAACCUGGAUGCCCAUAUUGGUUCCUACAUAUUCUACGAAGAUCUUUAUCGGUCGAACCUUAUGACAACAUACGUAACUCCCUUUGUCUGUCCGUAUGUUACUUGUCGAGAUUCGAUCGUCGGUAUCUUCAUGCCUAGUUCAAUCUCGUUACCGGCAAGUCUCUUUACUCGUUCCAUAAUACAUCAUCCCGUAACUAACUCCUUAGUCACAUUGCUUGCAAGCUUCUUGUGAUGUGUAUUACCGAGAUGGCCCAGAGAUACCUCUCCGAUACACAGAGUGACAAAUCCCAAUCUAGAUCCAUGCCAACUCAACAGACACCUUCAGAGAUACCUGUAGAGCAUCUUUAUGAUCGCCCGGUUACGUUGUGACGUUUGAUAGCACACAAGGUAUUUCUCCGAUAUCCGGAAGUUGCAUGAUCUCAUAGUCGAAGGAAUAUGUAUUUUGCAUUAAGAAAGCAGUAGCAAUAAACUAAACGAUCAUAUGCUAAGCUAACGGAUGGGUCUUGUCCAUCACAUCAUUCUCCUAAUGAUGUGAUCCCGUUAUCAAGUGACAACACAUGUCCAUGGUUAGGAAACCUUAACCAUCUUUGAUCAACGAGCUAGUUUUCUAGAGGCUUACUAGGGACGCGGUAUUUGUUUAUGUAUCCACACAUGUGCUUAAGUUUUCGAUCAAUACAAUUCUAGCAUGAAUAAUAAACCUUUAUCCUGAAUAAGGAAAUAUAAUAAUAACAAUUUUAUUAUUGCCUCUAGGGCAUAUUUCCAUCAAAACUACAAUCUAUGAAGAUGUGGAGGUAUUUGGGGUUGGGCGAAAGGCUAGAGUUUGGACGUGGAUUACGCAAUACACAUGAAGCAGGUGAAAAUACCUUCGUCAAACAAUUCUUUUGAGGUGGAUUUAAGUUUAUUUGGAAAGAACGUGACUGGUGGGAUGCUAGUGAUAUUGAAAUGGGACACAAUAAAAUCACGGAGAGAAUCAACAUCAGAAGUAGUGGGCUCACCAUCAAAAGGAAGAUCUAAGAUCUCAUGGAUCACAUACUUGGUUAUCGGGACAAACUUUUUCUCAGCUGAAUCUAGAAGUAGCAACAUAAUUUGUAACCUUUUCAUUUCACAAACCUAAGAGGUGUUUGGCACACGUGAAACAUACGCUAACGCAAAACAAAAAAUUCUACCACACAACCAAAAACAUUGUAACACCCCGGAUGUAACUUUCCAUAUUUGUAACUCCAACUCUUGCCAUUUUCGGCUAUGUGUUAUGAUAUUCCCUUCGUGGUCGGGUUUUGUCUUUCGUUUUGCUUUUUGUUCAUGUCAUGCAUCUCAUAUCAUGUCAUCAUGUGCAUUGCAUUUGCAUACGUGUUCGUCUCAGGCAUCCGAGCAUUUUCCCCGUUGUUCGUUUUGCAAUCCGGCGCUCCCACCUCCUCCGGCGCACCCCUCUUGUUUCUUUUCGUGAGUGGGUGUUGAACGUUCUCGGAAUGGACCGAGGCUUGUCAAGUGGCCUUGGUAUACCACCGAUAGACCACCGGUCAAGUUUCGUUCCAUUUGGAGGUCGUUUGGUACUCCAACGGUUAACCGGGUAACCGCAUAUGCCUUCUGUGUGUUGCAGCAAAAACCCCUCUCUAAACAGCCCAAAACCCCUCCAAGUCAUCUCCAUGCUCUAGGUCGUUCGAUCACGAUCGUGUGGGAGAAAACCGCACCUCAUUUGGACUCUCCUAGCUCCCUCUAUCUAUAUAAAUGUGAGACCCCCCGAAAUUCCCGCAGUCCAAAACCCUAACCCGCUCCUCCGCGCCGCCGGACGUGUCCGCCCGGGGCCGAACACAUCGGCGCCGCCGCCCGCAGCCACUCCGCGCCUGCCACGUGGCCCCCGGCCACCGCGCGCGCCCNNNNNNNNNNNNNNNNNNNNNNNNNNNNNNNNNNNNNNNNNNNNNNNNNNNNNNNNNNNNNNNNNNNNNNNNNNNNNNNNNNNNNNNNNNNNNNNNNNNNNNNNNNNCGCGCCGCCGCCGCCUCCCUUCGCCGCCGCCGCCGCCGCACCCGCGUUCCCUGUCGCCGUCCCCGCCCCCUCGGCGUCCGUGCCCGUCCCCCGACACCGUCCCCGGCGCCUCCUCCUCCUCCCUCGCCCGGAGCUCCGGCGAGCUCCUUCGGCCCGAGGCCAGCCAGAUCUGAUCCGCAAAUCGAGACGGUUGACUUUUCUCUCCUUCCCCGUUUUCUCUAAGUCUUUAUAUUUUUACAUUACAUGCCCAUGUUCAUCGCAUCAUAACUCUCUGCAUUUAGCUCCGUUUCACGCGUGUAAUAUAUCGAAUUCUCAUGAUGCUCUUCAUUUUGUUCCAUUGCACCAUGUUCAUUUGAGGCCAUCUUGAUGCCCAAAUCUCUGGUGCAAGAGUGCUAGUUGUUGUUAUCUGCUGUUACUUAGCAGAACUUGGUGAUUUGUUAUUUUUGUUGCAUUUAUUCUGUGCAUCUUAUGGGCAUGAGCUCUACAUGUGUUUUUUUUGUAUGCCAUGCCAUCUUUCCAGUGGUGUAUGCCAUGUAUUUUUGUGAUCUUUGUGGUGACUAGCACAAGCAUGCAAACUAGGCCCCGUAAUGUUUCUGAUUUCAGGGACUUAGUAUUUUCUCCAAGUCUUUGUCUGUUGUUAUUUUGUUGCCAUGUAAACUUGAUGCUACAGAGAGAUACAUGCAUAUUUUGGAGAUGUUCAGUAAGGAUGUUUUGUAGAUAUUAUUGUAAUUGAUCCAUUCCUGCCCUUGUUUGCAAUUAUGGAGUGCCAUAGCAUGACUCAAUCUUGCUCUACUUUUGCUGUAAAAUAUUUCUGGUAGUUGAUCCAUUCAUGCUAUGUACUUUCUCUUGCCAUGGAUAGCUUCAUAAACAUGCCAUCUUGCUGUAGGUAUGCUUGUUUUGUCAUGCAUUGCUUUGUGGUGAGUGCAUCAAGCUCACCAAGAUGCCUUCAUAUUAGUGUUUCUGCCAUGCUCUGUUUUCUGCCAAGUCUGUAAUCUGUUAGAGAGCGAUCACCGGGUUAUAUCUGGCACUUGGAAGGGUGUGUUUUAUUAAGUAUCCAGUUCUAGUUGUCAUAAGGUCAAGGUACAACUCCGGGUCGUCCUUUUACCGAGGGACACGGCUAUUCGAAUAGAAAAACUUCCCUGCAGGGGUGCACCACAUAACCCAACACGCUCGAUCCCAUUUGGCCGGACACACUUUUCUGGGUCAUGCCCGGCCUCGUAAGAUCAACACGUCGCAGCCCCACCUAAGCACAACAGAGAGGUCAGCACGCCGGUCUAACCCUAUGCGCGCAGGGGUCUGGGCCCAUCGCCCUAUGCACACCUGCACGUUGCGUACGCGGCCGGAAGCAGACCUAGCCUAGUGGCGUUCCAGUCCAAUCCGGCGCGCGCCACUCAGUCGCUGACGUCACGAAGGCUUCGGCUGAUACCACGACGCCGGGAUACCCAUAACUACUCCCGCGUAGAUGGUUAGUGCGUAUAGACCAAAUGGCCAGACUCAGAUCAAAUACCAAGAACUCGUUAAGCGUGUUAUGUCGAAGUAACCGCGGACGCCGUCCAGGGCCAGGCCCACCUCUCACCUAGGCGGUCUCAACCUGCCCUGUCGCUCCGCCACAAAGAUCCACUUGCGGGUACUCCUACGAGCCGACCCGACUUUAUUUACCACAUGUGUCAUGUAUAGAGUAUAUAAGCAUAUACCCGUGAUCACCGCCCAGGUGAUCACGGCCCGAUAGUAUAGCACAGCAGACGGACAAGAAUGUAGGGCCACUGAUGGAAAACUAGCAUCCUAUACUAAGCAUGUAGGAUUGCAGGUAAAGGUAGCAACAGUAGUAGCAAGGGCAGGCUAUGCAUCAGUAUAGGAUUAACGGAAAGCAGUAACAUCCUACACUACUCUAAUGCAAGCAGUAUAGAGAAGAAUAGGCGAUAUCUGGUGAUCAAGGGGGGGGGCUUGCCUGGUUGCUCUGGCAAGAAGGGUUCGUCGUUGAUGUAGUCGAUCACAGGGGUACCGGCAGCGGUCUCAGGGUCUACCGGAAAGAAGUAACGGAGGCGGAACACAAUAAAUAACAGAGUAAUCAAAGCAUCACAAAGCGUAACAUGGCAAUACACGGUGCUAGAGGUGACCUAACGCAGUAUCAGGUACUACUGGAGAAGGGGGCAAACAUCCGGGAAAGUAUUCCCGGUGUUUCGCGUUUUCGGACGGGCGGACCGGAGGCAAAAUGUUGCAUGUUCGCUAUGCUAGGGACGUGUGGUGAACGAAUGGACUGCGUAUCCGGAUUUGUCUCGUCGUUCUGAGAAACUUUCAUAUAUAAAUUAUUUCUACCUGACUUACGGUUUAUUUUAUAUGGUUUUCCAAAGUUGUAUUGAUUUUCUGAAAUUACAGAUUUAUUUUAAUUCGAAAAUUAAACGGGAAAUUGCUAGGUGCACAUGGUGCACUGCACCCAGAGUGCACCAGAGGGGCUGACUGGUGGGACCAGUCAACUGCACAGACAGCAGUUGACUGGUACACCUUGACCAGUCAAAGUAGCCGCCUGGCCCCACUUGUAAGUGACUCAGGGGGAGUUUUAUUUAAUCUAAUGUUUUAGCUUAAGUUAAUGGCCUUGGGCCCAAGUGUCAGUGGGGUUAGUGGGGGUGAUUAGUAGCUAAUCUAAGUGCCACGUCAGCGGCGCAUCGGCGCGCUAACGACGGCGAGGCGGGGUACGCCGGCGAUGACCGUGCGGUCGCCUCCGACCUUGGUUUGCCGCGCGGUCGUGUGCGUCAGGAAGCUGGCGAGGUGGCACGUCGACUGGUACCGAUGGCGUCGCCGGAGUUAGCCGGAGCUGGCCGGAACGGCGACGAAGAGCAGCGGUGGCGUUCGGGGAGGGGUGCAACGUCAGCGCUACGGGGCAGAGGUGAGGCGUGCGAGUGUGCGUCGUGCUCCUGGGAGCACCAGGAGAACGGUGCUGGGGUCGGGCGAGGCCCACGACGGCCAUGGACGCGUCGGCGGAGCUCAUCGGCGGCGGUGGGGGUACGGGCAUGUCGCAACUACGCGUGCGAGCUCGAAAUCAAGCCCGAGAAAAGGGGGAGAAGGAGCGCGCGCUCACAGUGAGGACGAGGUGCUGCUGGGCUUAAGCCGGGGCGGAGUGACGACGGCUAAUCGAGGAGGCGAACGGUGGCGGCCGGAGGAUGAAGAAGGUCCCGCUCCACUCGCUGCCGUGGCGCCGAGCUCGCACGGGGGCGCGUGGACGACGUAGGGGAGGCAGACGGAGCUCAUGGACUAGAUCUCGGAGCGCGGGGUCGACGUUAGCCGCGGCGGCGAGCAAAACCAUGGCGACGGUGGCUCGGCAGUGCGCGGGGAGGAAGCAAAGGCGAGGGGGAGAACGAGAGGGCGACGGAGUGAGGAGCUAGGGUUAGCAGGAGGGAGAGGGGGCUUUUUGUACUGAGGGGGAGGUCGUGGAUGGCUUCCACGCAGGGCUCGGGUGGCCAUGGCCGGGGGGAUGAGCGCCACGAUCCCCCCCUGCCUCCCUGUAGCAGAGGAAGGGGGCGAGGGGGUGGGCUGGCCCCUUUUGGCUAGAUGGGCCAAGUGGCCCAGGAGGCUCUCUUUUUGUUUAACCUUAUCCUUUUUCUUAUUUUUCUUUUCUGAUUUAAUUUUAUUUCCCAAAUUGUUUUAGUUUUGUAAAAUAUUCAUUUAGUACCUAAAAUAGUAACCUUAAUUAUACCACUGCCACAAUAACUUUGGAACCUAGCUAAAGUAGUUUAGUAUUUUAUAAAAUAUAAUAGGGGUAUAACUAAUUGUUUUUGCUGCUGUUGUCAUCACUUUAGGGUAUUUAAUUAUUUUAAAAAGAUGUUGUUUCUCCACCAAUAUCAUCCAUGAUUUAUUUGUCACAUUAACAACAUUUUAUUUUUAAUAUUUGAAAAUAUUUUAUUGUUUGCUUGAUUUUGAAUUUGAAUUCGAACAGGUUUCGAACUAACUCUAGAUUAGCAACUAUAAUCGAGGUGACGUGGCAUCAUUAGCAGAGGUUCACUGUAGCUUAAUUAUCCGGGCGUCACAAUUCUCCUCCACUACAAGAAAUCUCGUCCCGAGAUUUAAGCGGUGGAGUAAGGGGGAAGGUUCGGGUUACGAAAUUCUAGGGAGUGUUCUUGGUCUUGGUUGUUCUUCUCGAAGAGGUUGAUCCAUUACAUUGAUGUCUUCAUUCUGCUGUUUCAGGUCAUCAUGAUCAAGUCGGCAUCCUUUCUUCAGGAUCUCCAUCGUACUUACGAUAGAGUAAGGGGGUAUUCCGGAAGAACGGACCUCUGCAAGGUUGACUAUCUGGUCGAUAUCAUCGGGGAAGGUGGCGGAAAGUAACUCUCGAAUUGAAACUUAAGAAAAUAUCGAGAGCAAAAUAAAGAGUUAUCAUGGGAAGUUUCAAGCGGGCAGGCAAUCGUUCGAUGCCUGAAACAAAGUGUGAAAUGGGUUGAGAUCAACGGGAAUAAGUAUUGUGUCUGAUACUAGAAUAUAUCACUUCCCAGAUGGCCCGUGAGUUACAUAAGAAGUCAAGCGCGAGGAAUAUCUUUGAUAACAUGGUGUACAGGAGAGUCAGGUUUCGAUCCUGUGGAACUGUGGGUUAUGGGCCCACCAUGUGGGUUAAAAGUAAGAAGGGCGGUGACAUCUUGCAUGAUCAUGAUAGCAAGGCAUGUCAGAGAGUACCCUGUCAGUUAUGUCGGCAACACGUUGGUACCAAGGGCGAGGGACGAAGAGAACCAUUUUCCUGCUCGUUGAAACGAGGCGGACCAUUAGGCAAAGUUCUCGUCCAUCGGUGGCUACCGGGAUGUCAUCAACAAUAGUAACAGGGUCGUGCUGACAGAAUUGUACACCGAGGUGUUUACAUAAGCAGGAGAAUAUUUCUGCUUAGCUCAUAUAGAACUCAAGAAGGGUUAAACAAAACAAUGGAAAGGAAAAUAUCAUCAUCAGAUUAAACAGAACAAUGGAAAGGAAAAUAUGUUAAAACACAUAUUUCAGGGGUAUUUCCUUCCCAAGGACCAGCAAAGCAUGAUAUCCAUGAUAGGAUAUAAUGUAGAAAACCAUCUAGGUUAGGGGGAGGAAGUUCAUGACAUUACCCAAACAGCGGUGUUUGGAUAAUUGAGCAGGAAACAUUUAGCAUUGGGCUUCAAAUGUUCCUGUUGAAAAUCGGAGUACCAUAGACAUGCUUCGAGAUAGCAUUGACAUGGUCAACAGGUGAAGAUCAGACUUUGGAAACAAAAAGGAUCCAUUAGGAACAACCUAUAGAAUAAGUCUUACAAUUUCCUCACGAAAGAAUGACUAACCUUGUCAAAAAGGAAACUAUAACAAUAGGUCCCCCGGCCAGGUGUGCUAGGCAUGACAUCACCUUACCGGGUCAUAUAAAGACCAAUGUUAUAACUCUUGGAAAUAUGUUCCAACCAUCGUAUCUGACCGAGAUUCAGUUUUGAUUGGUGUCAGGAUACCUCAGACUUAGGAUGCCUGAGAAGGAAAAGGUGCGGCACCAUUUGACGAGAUGACAUUGUAAGAUUCUCGGGAAAUGAACUAUGGAAGCGAGUUCCGAAACAAGAGUCCAUCAGUAAACCAACGAGAGGAUGAGGAGGUGACUGAUUGACUCAGCGACAAUCCAUUGAGAUUUCCAAAAGAUGGAUUUCCACAACUAUAUGAACAAGGAGAUAACACUAACUAGAUCGAAUGACUUAAUGAUGUAUGCUCGAGGAAAACAUACACAGUUAAACAUUGGUUGAAAUGUGCACCCGAAAUAUGGGCUAGGUAGCACGAUCAAUGUUCGAAUGAUGAUUCAUUAAGCCAUAGACGUAGAAUGAAACUAUAGACCAAUAACUCCAAAGAAAUAGGGUUGCUAGAAGUUUAGAAUUUACACAUCACAGACCAUUUGUUCGGUAUUUCGUUUAGAAACAACACGGGGACCCAGAAAGAAUGGUGAUGGCGAGAAGUAUCACUGUACCAAGAAUUCUUAAGAGGUGGAGUAAUGCUCACGACAUUCUUGACAUCAAAGAUGGUAAUACUCCACGGUAGAACAUAACAUAAGUUGGAUAGCAGGGAAAUCAAGAUACAACACAAAAUAUGAACAAGUUUGUGUUGGGGGGAGGCAAGAAUGUUGUCGAUGAUAACACAAUUCAUCGAGGGGCAAGGAUGGUAUUUCUCAUCCUGAAUUUCAACACACAACUUGGAAGAAGUCAAAUUGUUGACAAUGAUCACGACAAGUUUGUCGAGAGGUUUUCAAGAAGAUGUAAUUGAUCGACGAUGACAUCAAGUCAAAGGAAUGAUGAAAGCGAAAGGUUAUUGGAACCACGGUUAGGACACAAACUCGAAAUCAAGUUUGCAGUUCAAGGAGAAGUGAUAUGACGAGGAAGAUCGACGCAAGAUUAGCUCACUGUCGAAAUUUGUGUGCUAGGAAGGUCCGGGUAGCACAGUUAAAAAGUUUGCACGAUAAUGAUAUAGCCGAUAAGGCUAGGAAUGACUUGAAGGAUUAUUAAACUCGUAAGCAACAAGAAUUUCUUAGAGUUAUUGAAUCGGAGUGCGGAAUCGAUUCGCUUAUCGGUGUUCUCGAGUGACUAAUAACUCAGAGCCCGUGGAAAAUUGGAAUCAAUGAGAAUGUAGCACUUGAUGAAAAACUCAUAAGAAGUUAUGCAGUUCCAUGAUAAUCUCGAGAUACCAGGGGGUAAUACUCGACGACAGAUCAAGGUAAAGGUUGGACUAGGGUAUUGCCCUGCAGAAGACAAGUGCUCAAACUUGCACGAGAAACGGAAUCAAGGAGAAACAUGGUCGGAACCACGUCCACGGAUACCAGAUGAACUUAUUACAAGGGGGUAAUUAUUAUAAGAGAAGCUUCCAUGAUAGGAUCUACAUCGUGUCCAUGGGCAUGAACACAAAGGUUCAAGGUCGACUCCCACUUCUUCAAUGCAUAACCUUCCAUUCGCCUCUCGUAUUUGAUAAUGACAUUAGUUGUCGAAAGUUUUACCUGGUGAAAUACCAGAUGAGUAUGGCCCGUGAAAUCUUUCGGGCUCACAUAGAUUAGGUAAGGCAUUGGUUCAACCCAUCGAGGCAUCUUAGGAACAUAUACCACAAUUUUUUUUGGAGUAAUUAACACAAGCUCGAAAGUAGAGCAUGGUUCACAAAACAGAGGAUACAAUUUACCAAAGGCAUCAUGUAUCCGAGGAAAAGCUCACAAGCUUAUUUAAUAUGAAGGACAUUGUCGGAUAAGAUCCGACAAAAGGGUCUGGUGGUCCACAAGGGAUCUGAUGUGAGCAUUAGUACUCAACCAGAGGAAGAAAGAAUGCCAGGAGAUCAGAUUAUAGAAACAACUGACUAACUCAAAGCUCACAUGUAAAGGAAUUAUAGUUUCCAAAUCAAAGGAUCAGAAGCAAAUGCUCUGAUUAAGGAUGGAUAACUUGAGUAAGCUUAGGGGUACAAACGACGACAAUUUGAUUGGUCGAGAUCCAGCUCAUGUUAAAAAUGACGUCUGAGCCGGAAGGAUGAAUUCUAGGAUCUGAUUGAGGAUUGCGAGCAUUCGCAACAAAUUGAAGCAACAGACUCAAAAUGAUAAAUGACAAGGGAUGCCAAUAAGAUUUCGAGACUUCAGAUUAAUCAUAAUGCAAAUAAGCAAGAAUUUCAAGAGCAAAAGGCUCCUGAGGAUUUUCGGAAGAUCGAAUGGUAUUUUGAACACUUUUGUGAAAUACUCGAAUCAACUGGGGAUGAGCGGAUACUCGGUAAGUGCGAGAAUUAUCCGUAAGGGUAUUCAGGUGACAAAGAACUGUAUAGCAGUAAGCUCAAAGGAUUCUUGGAACAACAGAGAGCAUUACGGGGUAUCUUGUAGUAACAAGAUCAACUGGGAAACAUUGUAUGAAUGGCGAGUAUACGUGGUUAUCCAUAGGAGUUCAUCGAUGAAAGGGAAUUGUAAAAGCGAUGAACACAAGUUCUCGGGUUAUCAGCGGAGAGUGUCUUCAGGGUCUUCACGUGAAGCAGACGAUCAUCAGUAAUAAGGGGCUCUCCGGGUGAAAGCGAUAACGAGAUCCUAAUGUUAGAUUUAGCAAAACUCACUUAACCCGAAUAGAAGAGAGAUCAGAGUCCUAGAGUAUAGACAAGGAGUAAAAGCUCCUAAUACCACCCGAUGGCUACGUGGGCCCGUAAGCCACACAGCCAUGUUAGUAAACGUUUAGCAAUGACUAGACUCAACUUCGGCCAAGGAGUGUGGAAAGGGGGAUUCCUACAGGCAGUCGGCUCUGAUACCAACUUGUGACGCCCCCGAUUUGACCGUACACUAAUCAUGCACGCAAAUGUGUGCGAUCAAGAUCAGGGACUCACGGGAAGAUAUCACAACACAACUCUAAAACAUAAAUAAGUCAUACAAGCAUCAUAAUACAAGCCAGGGCCUCGAGGGCUCGAAUACAAGUGCUCGAUCACAGACGAGUCAGCGGAAGCAACAAUAUCUGAGUACAGACAUAAGUUAAACAAGUUUGCCUUAAGAAGGCUAGCACAAAAGUAGCAACGAUCGAAAAGGCAAGGCCUCCUGCCUGGGACCUCCUAACUACUCCUCGAAGCCGAACUCCACGUAGAAUCAUCCUCGGGAUCUCUAGCUCCUGGACUCCAGCAUCUGGUUGCAUCAAUCAGGUAUAGAAAGGGGAAAAGAGGGAGAAAAGCAACCGUGAGUACUCAUCCAAAGUACUCGCAAGCAAGGAGCUACACUACAUAUGCAUGGGUAUAUGUGUAAAGGACCAUAUCGGUGGACUGAACUGCAGAAUGCCAGAAUAAGGGGGGAAUAGCUAGUCCUGUCGAAGACUACGCUUCUGGCAGCCUCCAUCUUGCAGCAUGUAGAAGAGAGUAGAUUGAAGUCCUCCAAGUAGCAUCGUAUAGCAUAAUCCUACCCGGCGAUCCCCUCCUCGUCACCCUGUUAGAGAGCGAUCACCGGGUUAUAUCUGGCACUUGGAAGGGUGUGUUUUAUUAAGUAUCCAGUUCUAGUUGUCAUAAGGUCAAGGUACAACUCCGGGUCGUCCUUUUACCGAGGGACACGGCUAUUCGAAUAGAAAAACUUCCCUGCAGGGGUGCACCACAUAACCCAACACGCUCGAUCCCAUUUGGCCGGACACACUUUUCUGGGUCAUGCCCGGCCUCGUAAGAUCAACACGUCGCAGCCCCACCUAAGCACAACAGAGAGGUCAGCACGCCGGUCUAACCCUAUGCGCGCAGGGGUCUGGGCCCAUCGCCCUAUGCACACCUGCACGUUGCGUACGCGGCCGGAAGCAGACCUAGCCUAGUGGCGUUCCAGUCCAAUCCGGCGCGCGCCACUCAGUCGCUGACGUCACGAAGGCUUCGGCUGAUACCACGACGCCGGGAUACCCAUAACUACUCCCGCGUAGAUGGUUAGUGCGUAUAGACCAAAUGGCCAGACUCAGAUCAAAUACCAAGAACUCGUUAAGCGUGUUAUGUCGAAGUAACCGCGGACGCCGUCCAGGGCCAGGCCCACCUCUCACCUAGGCGGUCUCAACCUGCCCUGUCGCUCCGCCACAAAGAUCCACUUGCGGGUACUCCUACGAGCCGACCCGACUUUAUUUACCACAUGUGUCAUGUAUAGAGUAUAUAAGCAUAUACCCAUGAUCACCGCCCAGGUGAUCACGGCCCGAUAGUAUAGCACAGCAGACGGACAAGAAUGUAGGGCCACUGAUGGAAAACUAGCAUCCUAUACUAAGCAUGUAGGAUUGUAGGUAAAGGUAGCAACAGUAGUAGCAAGGGCAGGCUAUGCAUCAGUAUAGGAUUAACGGAAAGCAGUAACAUCCUACACUACUCUAAUGCAAGCAGUAUAGAGAAGAAUAGGCGAUAUCUGGUGAUCAAGGGGGGGGCUUGCCUGGUUGCUCUGGCAAGAAGGGUUCGUCGUUGAUGUAGUCGAUCACAGGGGUACCGGCAGCGGUCUCAGGGUCUACCGGAAAGAAGUAACGGAGGCGGAACACAAUAAAUAACAGAGUAAUCAAAGCAUCACAAAGCGUAACAUGGCAAUACACGGUGCUAGAGGUGACCUAACGCAGUAUCAGGUACUACUGGAGAAGGGGCAAACAUCCGGGAAAGUAUUCCCGGUGUUUCGCGUUUUCGGACGGGCGGACCGGAGGCAAAAUGUUGCAUGUUCGCUAUGCUAGGGACGUGUGGUGAACGAAUGGACUGUGUAUCCGGAUUUGUCUCGUCGUUCUGAGAAACUUUCAUCUAUAAAUUAUUUCUACCUGACUUACGGUUUAUUUUAUAUGGUUUUCCAAAGUUUUAUUGAUUUUCUGAAAUUACAGAUUUAUUUUAAUUCGAAAAUUAAACGGGAAAUUGCUAGGUGCACAUGGUGCACUGCACCCAGAGUGCACCAGAGGGGCUGACUGGUGGGACCAGUCAACUGCACAGACAGCAGUUGACUGGUACACCUUGACCAGUCAAAGUAGCCGCCUGGCCCCACUUGUAAGUGACUCAGGGGGAGUUUUAUUUAAUCUAAUGUUUUAGCUUAAGUUAAUGGCCUUGGGCCCAGGUGUCAGUGGGGUUAGUGGGGGUGAUUAGUAGCUAAUCUAAGUGCCACGUCCGCGGCGCACCGGCGCGCUAACGACGGCGAGGCGGGGUACGCCGGCGACGACCGUGCGGUCGCCUCCGACCUCGGUUUGCCGCGCAGUCGUCUGCGUCAGGAAGCUGGCGAGGUGGCGCGUCGACUGGGACCGGUGGCUUCGCUGGAGUUAGCCGGAGCUGGCCGGAACGGCGACGAAGAGCAGCGGUGGCGUUCGGGGAGGGGUGCAACGUCAGCGCUACGGGGCAGAGGUGAGGCGUGCGAGUGUGCGUCGUGCUCCUGGGAGCACCAGGAGAACGGUGCUGGGGUCGGGCGAGGCCCACGACGGCCAUGGACGCGUCGGCGGAGCUCAUCGGCGGCGGUGGGGGUACGGGCAUGUCGCAACUACGCGUGCGAGCUCGAAAUCAAGCCCGAGAAAAGGGGGAGAAGGAGCGCGCGCUCACAGUGAGGACGAGGUGCUGCUGGGCUUAAGCCGGGGCGGAGUGACGACGGCUAAUCGAGGAGGCGAACGGUGGCGGCCGGAGGAUGAAGAAGGUCCCGCUCCACUCGCUGCCGUGGCGCCGAGCUCGCACGGGGGCGCGUGGACGACGUAGGGGAGGCAGACGGAGCUCAUGGACUAGAUCUCGGAGCGCGGGGUCGACGUUAGCCGCGGCGGCGAGAAAAACCAUGGCGACGGUGGCUCGGCAGUGCGCGGGGAGGAAGCAAAGGCGAGGGGGAGAACGAGAGGGCGACGGAGUGAGGAGCUAGGGUUAGCAGGAGGGAGAGGGGGCUUUUUGUACUGAGGGGGAGGUCGUGGAUGGCUUCCACGCAGGGCUCGGGUGGCCAUGGCCGGGGGGAUGAGCGCCACGAUCCCCCCCUGCCUCCCUGUAGCAGAGGAAGGGGGCGAGGGGGUGGGCUGGCCCCUUUUGGCUAGAUGGGCCAAGUGGCCCAGGAGGCUCUCUUUUUGUUUUAAUUUUUGUUUAGCCUUAUCCUUUUUCUUAUUUUUCUUUUCUGAUUUAAUUUUAUUUCCCAAAUUGUUUUAGUUUUGUAAAAUAUUCAUUUAGUACCUAAAAUAGUAACAUUAAUUAUACCACUGCCACAAUAACUUUGGAACCUAGCUAAAGUAGUUUAGUAUUUUAUAAAAUAUAAUAGGGGUAUAACUAAUUGUUUUUGCUGCUGUUGUCAUCACUUUAGGGUAUUUAAUUAUUUUCAAAAGAUGUUGUUUCUCCACCAAUAUCAUCCAUGAUUUAUUUGUCACAUUAACAACAUUUUAUUUUUAAUAUUUGAAAAUAUUUUAUUGUUUGCUUGAUUUUGAAUUUGAAUUCGAACCGGUUUCGAACUAACUCGAGAUUAGCAACUAUAAUUGAGGUGACGUGGCAUCAUUAGCAGAGGUUCACUGUAGCUUAAUUAUCCGGGCGUCACACUCGAUGUGUCUCCUCCUCGUGGAUCCCUCGAACCAUUCCUCGUGGUUCCCUUGAAUGGUCGAUCAAAGGACCGUAGGUGAAGCGUCUCCAAGGUAUCCACACGCACGGAGCAACGUCACUCGACGGAUUGCUAGAUCCUAAUGGGCAACUUGGGUGGGGGAGUGGUGUCCACAGUUGGAUGGGAGACAAAGAUCAACCCUAAAGCGUGUGCCCACUCUCCUUUAUAUAGACCUCCCUAAUGGGCUUAGGCCUAUUAGAAUACUUCGCCCCCUUAAGCGUGCAACCCUAUAGGUUCACGUGUACAUGGACACAACCCGAGUCAAUAGAUUAUAGAUGGUAGAGGUUCCUAGCAGAACGUGCCAACUUUCAUGUGUGUGUAAAGUCGUUUGACGAAUCUUGAAGAUGUGGCAUAUGCAACAUUUGUUUUGUCUCACAAUAUGUGUUGUAUAGCUCAAGGCAAGUAUUUGUCGCCCUCGUUGGUACCUCGGCCACUCCUUUUGAAAUGGUGAUACAGAUUCCCGAGCUAGGUUAACGCUUAACCCAAGUCGCAAUGGACAUACUUUUUGAAUCUGAUCAUUCAAGAGGGCGUAGAGAAUAUCUCUCUGAAUCGGGGGGAUUGUUGGGAAUCGUUGCAUGGAAAACAAAUUUUUCCUACGCACACGCAAUGAUCUAUCCAUGGAGAUGCAUAGCAACGAGGGGGAGAGUGUGUCUACGUACCCUCGUAGACCGUAAGCGGAAGCGUUUGACAACGCAGUUGAUGUAGUCGAACUUCUUCUAGCUCCGACCGAUUAAGUACCGAACGCACGACACCUCCGAGUUCUGCACACGUUCAGCUCGGUGACGUCCCUCGCCUUCUUGAUCUAGCAAGACGUCGAGGUAGUAGAUGAGUUCCUUCAGCACGAUGGCGUGGUGACGGUGAUGGUGAAGUGAUCUUCGCAGAGCUUCACCUAAGCACCACGAAGAUAUGACCGAGGGUGUAAACUAUGGAGGGGGGCGCCGCACACGGCUAGGCAAUUGUCUGGGUGUGCUAGGCGCCCCUCCCACAUAUAUAUAGGUGGGGGGAGGGAGCAGCCAGGAGGCGCUCCAAGUAGGAUCUGAAUCCUACUUGGGGUUUCCCCAAGUGCCCUCCCCCCCUUGCCUUAUUUCAUCGGAGAAGAAAGGGAAGGGGGAAGAGAGAAAGGAAAGGGGGGCCGAACCCCCUUUUUCCUUCUCCCAAUUCGGCCUCCUGCCAUAGGGGGGCACCCCUUGUGGGCUGGUGUGCUCCCCUCCCAUGUCCCAUAUGGCCCAUAUAUCCCCCCAGGGGGUUCUGGUAACCCCUCCGGUACUCCGAUAAAUACCCGAUACACUCCGGAACACUUCCGGUGUCCGAAUACUAUCGUCCUAUAUAUCAAUCUUUACCUCUCGACCAUUUCGAGACUCCUCGUCAUGUCCGUGAUCACAUCCGGGACUCCUAACAACAUUCGUUCACCAAAUCAUAUAACUCAUAUAACACUAUAUCGUCAACGAACGUUAAGCGUGCGGACCCUACGGGUUCGAGAACUAUGUAGACAUGACCGAGACACCUCUCCGGUCAAUAACCAAUAGCGGAACCUGGAUGCCCAUAUUGGCUCCUACAUAUUCUACGAAGAUCUUUAUCGGUCGAACCAUUAUGACAACAUACGUUAUUCCCUUUGUCUAUCGGUAUGUUACUUGCCCGAGAUUCGAUCGUCGGUAUCUUCAUACCUAGUUCAAUCUCGUUACCGGCAAGUCUCUUUACUCAUUCCGUAAUACAUCACCUCAUGACCAACUCCUUAGUCGUUUGCUUGCAAGCUUAUGAUGUGUAUUACUGAGAGGGCCCAGAGAUACCUCUCCGAUACUCAGAAUGACAAAUCCUAAUCUCGAUCUAUGCCAACUCAACAAACACCUUCGGAGAUACUUGUAGAGCAUCUUUAUAAUCACCCAGUUAUGUUUGUGAUGUUUGAUAGCACAUAAGGUAUUCCUCCGGUAUCCGAGAGUUGCAUAAUCUCAUAGUCGAAGUAAUAUGUAUUUGACAUGAAGAAAGCAAUAGCAAUAAAACUAAACGAUCAUAAUGCUAAGCUAACGGAUGGGUCUUGUCCAUCACAUCAUUCUCCUAAUGAUGUGAUCCCGUUAUCAAAUUACAACUCAUGUCCAUGGUUAGGAAACCUUAACCAUCUUUGAUCAACGAGCUAGUCUAGUAGAGGCUCACUAGGGACACGGUGUUUAUUUAUGUAUUCACACAUGUAUCAAGGUUUCCGGUCAAUACAAUUCUAGCAUGAAUAAUAAAGCUUUAUCAUGAUUAAGUAAAUAUAAUAAUAACCAUUUUAUUAUUGCCUCUAGGGCAUAUUUCCAUCAGGGAUCUCAUCUUGGUCAACCAUGUCUCGCAACAUAUUUCACGAGUAACAUGAAAGCUUGCUACCUCUUCAGCUUGCGUUGGUUUUUCCCUUGAAGAGGAAAGGGUGAUGUAGCAAAGUAGAGUAAGUAUUUCCCUCAGUUUUGAGAACCAAGGUAUCGAUCCAGUAGGAGACAACGCGCAAGUCACCGAAUACCUGCACAAACAAACACCAACUUGCACCCAACGCGAUAAAGGGGUUUUCAAUCCCUUCGCAAUUAUUGGCAAAGUGAGGUGUGAUAGAGAUGGAUAAAUGGUAAAGUAAUAAUUUUGGUAUUUUUGGUUUAUGGAACGGAAAGUAAAAGAUUGCAAAGGAAGUAAAUCGGAAACUAAAAUUGUAGAUCGGAAACUUAUAUGCUGCAAAAUAGACCCGGGGGCCAUAGGUUUCACUAGAGGCUUCUCUCAAGAUAGAAAAUAUUACGGUGGGUGAACAAAUUACUGCCGAGCAAUUGAUAGAAAAGCGCAAAGUUAUGACGAUAUCUAAGGCAAUGAUCAUGAAUAUAGGCAUCACGUCCGUAUCAAGUAGACCGACUCCUGCCUACAUCUACUACUAUUACUCCACACAUCGACCGACUCCUGCCUGCAUCUAGAGUAUUAAGUUCAUAGAACAGAGUAACGCAUUAAGUAAGAUGACAUGAUGUAGCGGGAUAAACUCAAGCAAUAUGAUGAAAACCCCAUCUUGUUAUCCUCGAUGGCAACAAUAGAAUACGUGUCGGUUCCCCUUCUGUCACUGGGAUCGAGCACCGCAAGAUUGAACCCAAAGCUAAGCACUUCUCCCAUUGCAAGAAAAACCAAUCUGGUUGGCCAAACCAAAUCGAUAGUUCGAAGAGACUUGCAAAGAUCUCAAAUCAUGCAUAUAAGAAUUCAGAUAAGAUUCAAAUAAUAUUCAUAGAUAAGCUGAUCAUAAAUCCACAAUUCAUCGGAUCUCUGCAAACACACCGCAAAAGAGUAUUGCAUCGGAUAGAUCUCCAAGAACAUCGAGGAGAACAUGGUAUUGAUAAUCAAAGAGAGAGAAGGAUCCAUCUAGCUACUAGCUAUGGACCCAUAGGUCUGAGGUAAACUACUCAUGCUUCAUCGGAGAGGCAAUGGUGUUGAUGUAGAAGCCCUUUAUGAUCGAAUCCCCCUCCGGCAGAACACCGGAAAAGGCCCCUAGAUGGGAUCUCACGGGUACAGAAGGUUGCGGCGGUGGAAAAGAGUUUUCGUGGCUCUCCUGGUAGGUUUUGGAAUAUUUGAGAAUAUAUAGGUGGAAGAAAUAGGUCGGUGGAGUCACGAGGGGCCCACAAGGGUGGGGGCGCUCCCUACCCCCUGGGCGCGCCCUCCGUCCUUGUGGGAGCCUCGUAGCUUCCCUGAUGUGUACUCCAAGUCCUCUGGAUGUCUUCUGGUCCAAGAAAAAUCAUCGCGAAAGUUUCAUUCCGUUUGGACUCCGUUUGGUAUUCCUUUUCUGCGAAACUCUAAAACAAGGAAAAAACAGAAACUGGCACUGGGCUCUAGGUUAAUAGGUUAGUCCCAAAAAUAAUAUAAAAUAGCAUAUUAAUGCAUAUAAAACAUCCAAAAUAGAUAAUAUAAUAGCAUGGAACAAUCAAAAAUUAUAGAUACGUUGGUGACGUAUCAAAGAUACGUUUAUAACUACCCCGUCACGGAGUAGCGUCUGAUAGACCCUAAGUAAGUCUAUUCACAUCCUGAGUACAUGCGAAGACCUCUGGUCUAGGAUAUGGCAUAAACAUUGUACCUAAGACUAACAUAUGAAAAUAUCUCACUGCUUACAUGACUAACGUAGAAAUCAUACAAAGCUUGGUCAAAAUCAGGAUCAUCUACUGAAAAAUCUUGCCAAACAUGUGAAAAAAAUAUUAAGCAAACAGAGAAGCAUGAAAAAAUACUAACAAAAUGCAACCAAAUAACUAAGAACCAGAGACAGUUGGAGAAAAUCAUCCUCGGCAAGAACACUAGGAACAAAAUGAUCCCCAUCUGAAUCAUCGCUCUCUUCAGGACAGCAGACAGGAAUGCCCUUAGAACAACCCUUCCGGACUCUAGCCAUAGUAUAAAAUAUUUCCUAAAUAUGGUUGAACAUACAUACAAAAAAUACUAAGAAGUACUGCAGUAUGAAUAACCACAGGACCAGUGUUGAUGAACUAACAAAAAUAAACUCCGAACAUUACACAAGUUCAAUAAUUGUCCAUUGCAUAAACAUUACCAGGUUGCAUAAAAUGGAGCAACAAUAGCAAACCAUUCAAUCCAAACAAAAAAAUCUACUCACAAAAGGCAUAUACAAAUACAAAUACAACACUGAACAAAAAAGUGCAAUUUACAAAAUAUAAAGGCUCGAUACACAAAGAUAACAACAGAACACAUUAACUGAGCCAAGAAAAUAUAUACAAUGAACAAAUGCCUAAGGAGACUACUAAUUUAAAUUAUACUUAAACUAGAAAUUACAACUAAUGAAAAAGAGCUGGCACAUUUCACCCCCCGCAAAUACCAAAAACUCAUAUUAGCAUAAGCAUGACAACAAAAAAUACUAAUAAGCAGGAAAAACUAAACUAAAUCACUACCUACCAUGCUUAUAAAAAUCUAAAUAGUCAAGCAUCAGCUAUGAAACUUACUAAAUCACCGGGUAGCAAACUGAAGCUUACAACAACUACAAAAACAAAUCAGGAACUACAACUCAGGGAGAAAUACUCGACAACUCUAGGUACUUAACUAACCUAAAAUCAAUGUUCCACGACAAAGGCAUCUAUACAGCUAACUAAGCUAACAACAACUAACAUCACUCGUGCAACAAAAUCUCCUACAAAUUACAAUGAACCUAACACAACCAAAUCAGCAAACACUACUAACCCUGAUACAAUCAACCAGGGGAUGCAUACGAUGCAAAAAGAACUAACCAACAGCUAAAUCACGGAUCCAAAUGGUCAAAAAGACAAAAACGUAUCACGCGAACAACAUACCCACGUACAUCUAUCAGAAGAAAUAAAAUCAUGCAAAACCUAUGGUGAAACUAACACAUACAUCAUACAAUGGUGCAUGAGCAAACCUACGUAUCAGAGAACACAAGCAAAACGCAAAUCUCGGCAACGAAUUAAAAUCAGGAACAAAAAGGGGAGAGAUGCAAUGCUGGGGAGAAGUAGUACGGGGAGAGAUGAAAUGAACCACGAAUCCCAGAAGAGCACCGGACUCCCGACCACCAAACUCCCCAAGCGAGCAGCAAGGUAGAGCUCCAAACCAAAAUCGCCAUGCCUCCCUCUCCCUCUCCCUCUCCCUCUCCCUCUCCCUCUCUCUCUCUCUCUCUCUGAGCCCUUGACGCGUCCGCCACUGAGAAGGGAAAGAGACAAAGGCAGCGUGAAUUGACGGGUCUCCUUGAAUUUUUACGGGUUCAAUAACAACCAACCAGCCCGAGAGCUGAAAGAAAAGCAGAACUGCACGAAUCUCAACAAAGAGAUCUGACAACAAAAAAGAAUGAAAGCCAAAAGUUUUCACCCGGCUGAAAAAAGUUAGAAAUUCUCAUGAAGUUAGAGCGACUGGUGUGUCUAACCAACAAAAUUCCACAAAAAGAAUGAUUGUUUGUGUCUUGUAAAAUAAAAAAUGACAAGUAGGUUCUUCAUGUCUUUUCCAUACGAAAUACAAAUAGAGAUAUUUUUUACAUUCCGUACAAGUUAUUGUUCUAUAGCAUUUCCUAUGACCAUGAAUUUUGCGCAUUUUUGGAAGUCACAAGGUUUUAAACAAUUUCAAAUCCGGUCUAGUAUUUAUUUGAAACAGUUUUUGAAAUUCAGAAUGAACCUUGCGGGACAUUUUCUUCUCUACCAAGAUGUCCCAUUUCUCAUUACUUUCCUAACCGAGCCUGCAGCAGUUUAUUGUUUAAAGAUGAUCAACUAGUUCAUGCUGCCAAAACAAUAAACUGCUGCAGUAACCAUACACCAUAACACAUAAUUUUCAGCAACCCAGCUCAACCCAAUAAUACUGCUCCAUCCCAUUCCCAUACCACGUCUGAAAACACAAUCAGACAUCUCAGUAGAAGACUAACACACUAAAGCAGCAGUGCACAAGGGCAGGUAAACAAGCUAGAGUUCUUGAAUUCAAACUGAAAGCAUUCUAGAAUUCAUGAUCCACAGAAGGGAGCGAUCAAACGCCUAGUCUAGGAGGUGAAGAUCUCGGCAGGUACAUGACCAUGAAGAUAAAAACUCACGUUAGUGACAGCGAGAGCUACAGCAUUACAGACGGCGGCUAAAUUAAUCUUACUUAGGGAAAAACAGCAUGCCAGAGAGCAAGAACCUAAAUCUCCUAGCUAUCAGGUCGGCCAUUGCUGGUCUACGGCAGACGUUACAGCAGUACCAGCUCCUCUCCAGCCCAGCCAACAAAUGGGGCUCUCUUCGAAGGCUUGAGCACGCGGUGUUAG
Molecule: long non-coding RNA, 28010 nt
Filed under: Triticum aestivum (bread wheat)
Lineage: Eukaryota; Viridiplantae; Streptophyta; Magnoliopsida; Poales; Poaceae
Description: long non-coding RNA (TAES_LNC019317)
Source: RNAcentral